Molecule: transfer RNA, 72 nt
Filed under: Bos taurus (domestic cattle)
Lineage: Eukaryota; Metazoa; Chordata; Mammalia; Artiodactyla; Bovidae
Also listed under: 5 other names
Rfam family: tRNA
About the family: Transfer RNA (tRNA) molecules are approximately 80 nucleotides in length. Their secondary structure includes four short double-helical elements and three loops (D, anti-codon, and T loops). Further hydrogen bonds mediate the characteristic L-shaped molecular structure. tRNAs have two regions of fundamental functional importance: the anti-codon, which is responsible for specific mRNA codon recognition, and the 3' end, to which the tRNAs corresponding amino acid is attached (by aminoacyl-tRNA synthetases). tRNAs cope with the degeneracy of the genetic code in two manners: having more than one tRNA (with a specific anti-codon) for a particular amino acid; and 'wobble' base-pairing, i.e. permitting non-standard base-pairing at the 3rd anti-codon position.
Source: Rfam by way of RNAcentral
UCCCUGGUGGCUCAGUGGGUAAAGAAUCUGCCUGCAAUGCAGGAGACCCAGGUUUGAUCCCUGGGUCGGGAA